UACGUAGGGCGCAAGCGUUGUCCGGAAUUAUUGGGCGUAAAGAGCUCGUAGGCGGUUUGCCGCGUCCGCUGUGAAAGCCCGGGGCUCAACCCCGGGUCUGCAGUGGGUACGGGCAGACUGGAGGGCAGUAGGGGAGACUGGAAUUCCUGGUGUAGCGGUGAAAUGCGCAGAUAUCAGGAGGAACACCGAUGGCGAAGGCAGGUCUCUGGGCUGUUACUGACGCUGAGGAGCGAAAGCAUGGGGAGCGAACAGGAUUAGAUACCCUUGUGUC
RNAcentral lists this ribosomal RNA (271 nucleotides) under uncultured Agromyces sp. RNAcentral describes it as "partial 16S ribosomal RNA". It matches the Rfam family "Bacterial small subunit ribosomal RNA", at positions 524 to 795 of the family's 1533-position model. The record is from RNAcentral. Lineage: Bacteria; Bacillati; Actinomycetota; Actinomycetes; Micrococcales; Microbacteriaceae.